UAGGGAAUCUUCCACAAUGGACGAAAGUCUGAUGGAGCAACGCCGCGUGAACGAUGAAGGCCUUCGGGUCGUAAAGUUCUGUUGUAAGGGAAGAACAAGUGCCGCAGGCAAUGGCGGCACCUUGACGGUACCUUGCGAGAAAGCCACAGCUAACUACGUGCCAGCAGCCGCGGUAAUACGUAGGUGGCAAGCGUUGUCCGGAAUUAUUGGGCGUAAAGCGCGCGCAGGCGGCCUCUUAAGUCUGAUGUGAAAGCCCCCGGCUCAACCGGGGAGGGCCAUUGGAAACUGGGAGGCUUGAGUAUAGGAGAGAAGAGUGGAAUUCCACGUGUAGCGGUGAAAUGCGUAGAGAUGUGGAGGAACACCAGUGGCGAAGGCGACUCUUUGGCCUAUAACUGACGCUGAGGCGCGAAAGCGUGGGGAGCAAACAGGAUUAGAUACCCUGGUAGUCCACGCCGUAAACGAUGAGUGCUAGGUGUUGGAGGGUUUCCGCCCUUCAGUGCUGAAGCUAACGCAUUAAGCACUCCGCCUGGGGAGUACGGUCGCAAGGCUG
RNAcentral lists this ribosomal RNA (550 nucleotides) under uncultured bacterium. Its description in RNAcentral is "bacterial SSU rRNA". It matches the Rfam family "Bacterial small subunit ribosomal RNA", at positions 355 to 896 of the family's 1533-position model. The record is from RNAcentral.